AACUGGGGAACUUGAGUGCAGAAGAGGAGAGUGGAAUUCCACGUGUAGCGGUGAAAUGUAUAGAGAUGUGGAGGAACACCAGUGGCGAAGGCGACUCUCUGGUCUGUAACUGACGCUGAGGCGCGAAAGCGUGGGGAGCGAACAGGAUUAGAUACCCUGGUAGUCCACGCCGUAAACGAUGAGUGCUAAGUGUUAGAGGGUUUCCGCCCUUUAGUGCUGCAGCAAACGCAUUAAGCACUCCGCCUGGGGAGUACGGUCGCAAGACUGAAACUCAAAGGAAUUGACGGGGGCCCGCCCAAGCGGUGGAGCAUGUGGUUUAAUUCGAAGCAACGCGAAGAACCUUACCAGGUCUUGACAUCCUUCGCUACUUCUAGAGAUAGAAGGUUCCCCUUCGGGGGACGAAGUGACAGGUGGUGCAUGGUUGUCGUCAGCUCGUGUCGUGAGAUGUUGGGUUAAGUCCCGCAACGAGCGCCACCCUUGAUCUUAGUUGCCAGCAUUCAGUUGGGCACUCUAAGGUGACUGCCGGUGACAAACCCGAUGAAGGUGGGGAUGACGUCACAUCAUCAUGCCCCUUAUGACCUGGGCUACACACGUGCUACAAUGGAUGGUACAACGGCUGCAAGACUGCGAAGUCAAGCCAUCCCAUAAAACCAUUCUCAGUUCUGAUAGCAAGCCGCACUCUCCAGCAGGCAGCCUGAAU
RNAcentral lists this ribosomal RNA (700 nucleotides) under Bacillus sp. STS40. RNAcentral describes it as "bacterial SSU rRNA". It matches the Rfam family "Bacterial small subunit ribosomal RNA", at positions 631 to 1332 of the family's 1533-position model. The record is from RNAcentral. Lineage: Bacteria; Bacillati; Bacillota; Bacilli; Caryophanales; Bacillaceae.